GGUGAUGUGCCGGAAUAAACGGAGUGCGAUGAUGGUGCAAAUUAUGAGAACUCUUUCUCCUUCACCU
Molecule: transfer RNA, 67 nt
Filed under: Lepetodrilus schrolli
Lineage: Eukaryota; Metazoa; Mollusca; Gastropoda; Lepetellida; Lepetodrilidae
Description: tRNA-Ile
Source: RNAcentral